CUGUGGGAGUUGGCAGCGAGCACUCCAGCUGGAGUGGUGGCAGCUUUGGCCAGGAGUAUGCUGACCAGUGUAGUCAGUCCAGGGAACAACAGGAUGGCCCUGGAGGGGCUUUUUCAGUGUUGCUUCUUUUCUAGACAGAGGAGGAUAUCUUGGUCAGAAAAGAGCUUGAAGAAAUUGCCAGGACUCACCCAGACCAGUUCGACCUGUGGUACACCCUGGACAGGCCUCCCAUUGGCUGGAAGUACAGCUCAGGCUUCGUUACUGCCGACAUGAUCAAGGAGCACCUUCCUCCUCCAGGGAAGUCCACGCUCAUCCUGGUGUGUGGCCCGCCACCGCUGAUCCAGACGGCGGCUCACCCUAACCUGGAGAAGCUGGGUUAUACCCAGGACAUGAUUUUCACCUACUAACACCUCCAUGUGCUCAGCAAAUCUGCAUGUCCCUUUUCAUCUGUUUCAGAGUAAGUUCAAUUUCACCACCUUAAACUGGGAUGUUUUCAAAA
This 499-nucleotide small RNA is filed under the name Pan troglodytes (chimpanzee). RNAcentral's name for it is "retained intron". Lineage: Eukaryota; Metazoa; Chordata; Mammalia; Primates; Hominidae. The record is from RNAcentral.